GAUGAACGCUAGCGGCAGGCUUAAUACAUGCAAGUCGUGGGGCAGCAUGAGUAGCAAUACUUGGUGGCGACCGGCAAACGGGUGCGGAACACGUACACAACCUUCCGAUAAGUGGGGAAUAGCCCAGAGAAAUUUGGAUUAAUACCCAGUAACAUAUAGAGUAGGCAUCUUCUUUAUAUUAUAGCUUCGGCGCUUAUUGAUGGGUGUGCGUCUGAUUAGGUAGUUGGCGGGGUAACGGCCCACCAAGCCUACGAUCUUGAGCUGAUGUGAGAGCAUGAUCAGCCACACGGGCACUGAGACACGGGCCCGACUCCUACGGGAGGCAGCAGUAAGGAAUAUUGGACAAUGGGCGAAAGCCUGAUCCAGCCAUGCCGCGUGAAGGAUUAAGGUCCUCUGGAUUGUAAACUUCUUUUAUUUGGGACGAAAAAAGGGAAUUCUUUCCCACUUGACGGUACCAAGUGAAUAAGCACCGGCUAACUCCGUGCCAGCCGCCGCAGUAA
This 500-nucleotide ribosomal RNA is filed under the name uncultured bacterium. RNAcentral describes it as "partial 16S ribosomal RNA". It matches the Rfam family "Bacterial small subunit ribosomal RNA", at positions 28 to 523 of the family's 1533-position model. The record is from RNAcentral.